UUCUUGAGUGUGUACUUGUUAAGCCUUUUAAGAAAAAAGUUAUUAACUUAAGGAAUUAUAACAAAGAAGCAACACGUAAAUGGAUUUUCCAUUUUUUAGUGUGUAUCAAUCGAGUUUCUGACCUAUCAGCUUUUGAUGUUAGGGUAUUGGCCUAACAUGGCUAUGACGGGUAACGGGGAAUUAGAGUUCGAUUCCGGAGAGGGAGCCUGAGAAAUAGCUACCACAUCUAAGGAAGGCAGCAGGCGCGUAAAUUACCCAAUUCUAAAGAAGAGAGGUAGUGACAAGAAAUAACAAUACAAGGCCAAUCUGGCUUUGUAAUUGGAAUGAUGGGAAUUUAAAACCUUCCCAAAACUCAAUUGGAGGGCAAGUCUGGUGCCAGCAGCCGCGGUAAUUCCAGCUCCAAUAGCGUAUAUUAAAAUUGUUGCAGUUAAAACGCUCGUAGUUGAAUUUCAAAGAAUCGAUAUUUUAAGUAGCACUUUGUAGAUUAAUCCACAUAAAUGAUACUACGUAUCGACUUUGUGCGCAUUUUUCUACUUAUGUGUUCUUUUAAUUAAAAUGAUUCUUUUUAAGAUCUUUCUUUUUUGCUUCGGCAUUUUAGGAGAUCUUGUUACUUUGAGUAAAUUAGAGUGUUCAAAGCAAACAGAUUAUAGCAUCUUUAUGCGUUUGAAUACUACAGCAUGGAAUAACAAAAUUGAACAAGUCAAAAUUUUGUUCUUUUUUCUUAUUUUGGCUUAGUUACGAUUAAUAGGAGUAGCUUGGGGGCAUUUGUAUUCAGAUGUCAGAGGUGAAAUUCUUAGAUUUUCUGGAGACAAACAACUGCGAAAGCAUUUGCCUAAAAUACUUCCAUUAAUCAAGAACGAAAGUUAAGGGAGUGAAGACGAUCAGAUACCGUCGUAAUCUUAACCAUAAACUAUGCCGACUAGGC
This 925-nucleotide ribosomal RNA is filed under the name Plasmodium inui. RNAcentral describes it as "SSU rRNA". It matches the Rfam family "Eukaryotic small subunit ribosomal RNA", at positions 174 to 1051 of the family's 1831-position model. The record is from RNAcentral. Lineage: Eukaryota; Apicomplexa; Aconoidasida; Haemosporida; Plasmodiidae.